Non-coding RNA from Poecile atricapillus (Black-capped chickadee), 555 nucleotides. The record is from the annotation of a RefSeq genome assembly. NCBI's taxonomy places the organism in Eukaryota, Metazoa, Chordata, Aves, Passeriformes, Paridae.
AUGGACUGGUAUCGCCAGAGACCCGGGAAGGGGCUGGAAGUGGUAGCAGGGAUCAGCAAUGGUAGCAGCACCUGGUACGCUCCAUCCGUGCAGGGCCGGUUCAGGAUCUCCAGGGACAACGGGCAGAGCUCGGUGACGCUGAGCAUGAACAACCUCCAGGACGAGGAUUCCGGGGGGCUCCGGGCGGCCGUGACCCUGCUGGAGUCCGGGGGGCACCUCCAGCCCCCCGGGGGGUCCCUGCGCCUCCUCUGCCGAGGGGAGGGAUUCACCUUCGGGAGUUUCGACAUGUUCUGGGCGCGCCAGAAACCCGGGAAGGCGCUGGAAUUUGUGGCGAGCAUCAGCAGUGGUGGCACCACCAAAUACGCGCCGUCGGUUCAGGGCCGGUUCACCAUCAGCAGGGACAACGGGCAGAGCUCGGUGACGCUGAGCAUGAACAACCUCCAGGACGAGGAUUCCGGGGUUUAUUUCUGUGCCAAAUGUUACACCAGUGGUUGUUACAGCAGUUAUGGUGCUGCUGCUGCUGCUGUUGGUUAUGGUGACGAUGCCGGUGAUGGC